Molecule: ribosomal RNA, 483 nt
Filed under: Drosophila petalopeza
Lineage: Eukaryota; Metazoa; Arthropoda; Insecta; Diptera; Drosophilidae
Description: partial 16S ribosomal RNA
Source: RNAcentral
AAUUUGAACGGCUACACCCAAAAUUAUAUCUUAAUCCAACAUCGAGGUCGCAAUCUUUUUUAUCGAUAUGAACUCUCCAAAAAAAUUACGCUGUUAUCCCUAAAGUAACUUAAAUUUUUAAUCAUUAUUAAUGGAUCAAUUAUUCAUAAAUUAAUGGUUUUAAAAAUUAAAAGUUUUUUAAAUUUUAAUAUCACCCCAAUAAAAUAUUUUAACUUAUUAUAAUAAAAAUAAUCUUUAUAAUUAAAAUAAACAAAAUAUAAAGAUUUAUAGGGUCUUCUCGUCUUUUAAAUUUAUUUUAGCUUUUUGACUAAAAAAUAAAAUUCUAUAAAAAAUUUAAAUGAAACAGUUAAUAUUUCGUCCAACCAUUCAUUCCAGCCUUCAAUUAAAAGACUAAUGAUUAUGCUACCUUUGCACAGUUAGAAUACUGCGGCCAUUUAAAAUUUUCAGUGGGCAGGUUAGACUUUAAAUUUAAUUCAAAAAGAC